UACGGAAGGCAGCAGUGGGGAAUAUUGCACAAUGGGCGCAAGCCUGAUGCAGCCAUGCCGCGUGUAUGAAGAAGGCCUUCGGGUUGUAAAGUACUUUCAGUCGUGAGGAAGGUGUUAAGGUUAAUAACCUUAGCAAUUGACGUUAGCGACAGAAGAAGCACCGGCUAACUCCGUGCCAGCAGCCGCGGUAAUACGGAGGGUGCGAGCGUUAAUCGGAAUUACUGGGCGUAAAGGGCACGCAGGCGGUUAAUUAAGUUGGAUGUGAAAUCCCCGGGCUUAACCUGGGAAUGGCAUUCAAGACUGGUUAGCUAGAGUCUUGUAGAGGGGGUAGAAUUCCAUGUGUAGCGGUGAAAUGCGUAGAGAUGUGGAGGAAUACCGGUGGCGAAGGCGGCCCCGUGGACAAAGACUGACGCUCAUGUGCGAAAGCGUGGGGAGCGAAACGAGGGAUUAGAUACC
This 456-nucleotide ribosomal RNA is filed under the name uncultured bacterium. Its description in RNAcentral is "bacterial SSU rRNA". It matches the Rfam family "Bacterial small subunit ribosomal RNA", at positions 340 to 786 of the family's 1533-position model. The record is from RNAcentral.